Non-coding RNA from Misgurnus anguillicaudatus (oriental weatherfish), 1105 nucleotides. The record is from RefSeq and is a predicted model, not a curated record. NCBI's taxonomy places the organism in Eukaryota, Metazoa, Chordata, Actinopteri, Cypriniformes, Cobitidae.
CAAUACUAAUUGAUAAUAUUAAAUUAAUGUAAUAAUCUUGUUUUGUUACACCCUAAAUCACUGAGCGCACAAACGCUACCCCAGUUACAAGCAUGGGUGGUUGACUUCAUGCAGACAUGCGCAGACAUCGAAGUACCGCGAGAGUGAUUCAAAAGCCCACGAAACAGUGUAAUCACGCGGUACUGUGACGUCAUACUGGUUAACGCUAAGCCACGUGAAGCCGGACACAAGGGCUGCACUAAUCUUUGGGUUGGAGUAGCCUGUGGUUUUUAAGGCUUCCGUGUCUCGUCGCGUUAAACGAUCGCAGAACGAUUUAUUUCUCUUUUUCACCUCGAUCUUUGGCCUCUUGUGAUUUAACAAAACCAACAUGUGAAGUUACAACGCUGACGAAGGAGUUUCAUCAGUAGAGUGUGUCCUGGUAAACGUGUGCUCGGAAACAUGCAGAUUACAGUAUUUACAGAGCCGACCUUGAGGCACCCACUGAUGGAUAAUCUGUUUACCUAAAAACAGCCCACCACAAUCCAUGUUUACCAGCUGUGAAAGUGCAGGCCAAAAAUCUUCCUUCACAUGUAGAUAAGCACUUCAGGAGAAACCUGCCUGUUAUCUGCUAUAUCUGCUAAGAUGCACAGAUUCAACUCUGGCCCAUUGUCAUCCCAACACCUUAUCUGCCAUCAGUUUCGUUUAGUGUCGGUCUAUUGCAAAAGUUCUUAUAAACUUUAAAUGAGACUUUGUGUUAAGCAGGGGUUUCCAAACUUUUCAUUUCACAACAUAUUAAGCCCAGGAUACACAGCAGGAUUUUUGCAAUCCAAUAAGACCUUAUCACACUGUGUGACAAGAAUUGUUUAAACUUCAGCAGUAGACUGUCGAUGAAGACACCUAUUGCAUCUGAGGCUGCGACAUCCGUCAUCAGCAUGCGCUAGUGGUAAACAAAUACAGGUAUGCAGGUCGUAGAAGCAAACACGUUGUUGAUGUGCGUUGAUCAUGCUGAACUUCUUACACUGUCAUAAAACUAUCGUAGGACCACCAAUUAAGAGCCACGAUCACAGAAAUCUCCACGAUUGUUUCACGAUUGGUAAUCUUUCAUCUGGGACAGCCAAAAAUCGUG